AGGCCCGUAGCUUAAUUGUGAAAGCCACGCUUUCGUCUUUUAGACAACUUGCACUAUGCAGGUUCAAAUCCUGCCGGGUCUA
This is a transfer RNA of Tulasnella calospora, 82 nucleotides long. It matches the Rfam family "tRNA". From Rfam's summary of the family: Transfer RNA (tRNA) molecules are approximately 80 nucleotides in length. Their secondary structure includes four short double-helical elements and three loops (D, anti-codon, and T loops). NCBI's taxonomy places the organism in Eukaryota, Fungi, Basidiomycota, Agaricomycetes, Cantharellales, Tulasnellaceae. The record is from Rfam.